Molecule: long non-coding RNA, 230 nt
Organism: Orbicella faveolata
Lineage: Eukaryota; Metazoa; Cnidaria; Anthozoa; Scleractinia; Merulinidae
Source: RefSeq, a predicted model, not a curated record
AGCCGCGAAAUUGACUGUUUGCGUAAGGUUAUCAUUAAUUUUCACUCGUUUUCCAAUUUCCUCGUGGUUUCUACAUCCCAGAUUUUAAUAUGAACUCGUCUAAAGGAAAGCUUACAGAUUUUCACGAAACCGUCAGACAAGAGGCUGAAGAUUCAGUGAAAAAUUUCUUCCCUGACAGGGUUUUUGAACUAGAUAAGCUUCUUAAGGUAAAUUUGACUUUGUACAUCUUA